CUUUAUUUCAUAUCCAGGAGGAAUGUAUCUGCGGCUUACAUAUCCAAAUUGAGGACGAACCAAAAGAAUAAAGCCAAGGAGAAAUCCUGAAAUGAAUCCUCCAAUAUGAGCUGAAUUGUCCACACCAGAUAACAAGCUUCCACCAAAACCAGCAAGCAGGUACAAGACUCCAAUUCUCACUGCCAAAUUCCAAGAAGUUGAAAAAUCAGCUAAGGUAGACAGUCAAAAACUGAUUAGACAAUAGUCAGAUUAUACUAACCAAAUCCAAAUUCCUGCUCAAGCCGGAUUCCAAUGAAUAGAAGACUCAACAUGUUGGUAGCUAAAUGCACAACUCCAGCAUGAAGCCACAUGCAAGACAAGAGCCUCCAUCCUUCACCUCCCUCCACCACUGAUUUCUUUUCAAGCCCUCCUAGUUUUAUCAGCCUGUAUAUAUAAUCAAGUUUGUAGCAGUUUGGAUGAUAUUCAACAUUAGAUUAGCAGAUAUAUCCUAUAAGCCCUAGCUUACAUUAUUCUAAUUAAGAGGCUUGACCUGAAUUAUUAGCUUGCAA
This is a long non-coding RNA of Quercus robur (English oak), 548 nucleotides long. RefSeq lists it as uncharacterized. The transcript has 2 exons. NCBI's taxonomy places the organism in Eukaryota, Viridiplantae, Streptophyta, Magnoliopsida, Fagales, Fagaceae. The record is from RefSeq and is a predicted model, not a curated record.